UAGUAUCAGCGUGCCAGCCGCCGCGGUAAUACGUAGGUGGCAAGCGUUGUCCGGAUUUUACUGGGCGUAAAGCGUAUGCAGGCGGAUUGUUAAGUAGGAAGUGAAAGGUUGGAGCUCAGCUCUAACACUGCUCCCUAUACUGGCAGUCUUGAGUGGCGGAGAGGAAGAUGGAACGACACGUGUAGCGGUGAAAUGACGUUGAUAUGUGUCGGAACNCCAAUGGGCGAAAGCAAAUCUUCUGGACGCAAAACUGACGCUGAGAUACGAAAGCCAAGGUAGCAAACAGGAUUAGAUACCCUGGUAGUCUU
RNAcentral lists this ribosomal RNA (308 nucleotides) under uncultured bacterium. Its description in RNAcentral is "bacterial SSU rRNA". It matches the Rfam family "Bacterial small subunit ribosomal RNA", at positions 495 to 797 of the family's 1533-position model. The record is from RNAcentral.